GAAGUAGUGCCUAUGCGCUAUUUAGUGGCAAACGGGUGAGUAACACGUAGCUUAGCUGUCCUAAAGUGGGGGAUAGCCGCGGGAAGCCGCGGGUAAUACCGCAUGUGAUCUACGGAUUAAAGCUUAAUGCGCUUUAGGAGGUGGCUGCGGCCCAUCAGGUUGUUGGCGGGGUAAUGGCCCACCAAGCCUAUGACGGGUAUCCGGCCUGAGAGGGUGAUCGGACACAUUGGAACCGAGACACGGUCCAGACUCCUACGGGAGGCAGCAGCUAGGAAUUUUCCGCAAUGGACGAAAGUCUGACGGAGCAACGCCGCGUGAAGGAUGAAGGUCUUUAGGGAUUGUAAACUUCUUUUAUAUGAGACGAGUAAGGACGGUAUCAUAAGAAUAAGUCCCGGCUAACUACGUGCCAGCAGCCGCGGUAAUACGUAGGGGGCUAGCGUUGUUCGGAAUUACUGGGUAUAAAGGGUGCGCAGGCGGAUUUCUAAGCAAGAGGUGAAAUGUCAAGGCUCAACCAUGGCACUGCCUUUUGAACUGGUCAUCUGGAGUACAGAAGGGGAGAGCAGAAUUUCCGGUGUAGGGGUGGAAUCUAUAGAUAUCGGAA
Molecule: ribosomal RNA, 601 nt
Filed under: uncultured bacterium
Lineage: Bacteria
Description: bacterial SSU rRNA
Rfam family: Bacterial small subunit ribosomal RNA
Source: RNAcentral